GGGUAUAACUCAGCGGGAGAGCGCUUGAAUGGCAUUCAAGAGGUCAUGGGUUCGAAUCCCACUAUCUCC
Molecule: transfer RNA, 69 nt
Filed under: uncultured Lacrimispora sp.
Lineage: Bacteria; Bacillati; Bacillota; Clostridia; Lachnospirales; Lachnospiraceae
Rfam family: tRNA
About the family: Transfer RNA (tRNA) molecules are approximately 80 nucleotides in length. Their secondary structure includes four short double-helical elements and three loops (D, anti-codon, and T loops).
Source: RNAcentral